UACAGAGGGGGCAAGCGUUGUUCGGAAUUACUGGGCGUAAAGGGCGCGUAGGCGGCCGCCUAAGUCAGACGUGAAAUCCCUCGGCUCAACCGGGGAACUGCGUCUGAUACUGGGUGGCUUGAAUUCGGGAGAGGGAUGCGGAAUUCCAGGUGUAGCGGUGAAAUGCGUAGAUAUCUGGAGGAAUACCGGUGGCGAAGGCGGCAUCCUGGACCGACAUUGACGCUGAGGAGCGAAAGCCAGGGGAGCAAACGGG
Molecule: ribosomal RNA, 253 nt
Filed under: uncultured bacterium
Lineage: Bacteria
Description: partial 16S ribosomal RNA
Rfam family: Bacterial small subunit ribosomal RNA
Source: RNAcentral